GAUGAACGCUGGCGGCGUGCCUAAUACAUGCAAGUCGGGCGAACGGACGAGAAGCUUGCUUUUCUGAUGUUAGCGGCGGACGGGUGAGUAACACGUGGAUAACCUACCUAUAAGACUGGGAUAACUUCGGGAAACCGGAGCUAAUACCACAUAAUAUUUUGAACCUCAUGGUUCAAGAGUGAAAGACGGUCUUUCUGUCACUUAUAGAUGGAUCCGCGCUGCAUUAGCUAGUUGGUAAGGUAAUGGCUUACCAAGGCAACGAUGCAUAGCCGACCUGAGAGGGUGAUCGGCCACACUGGAACUGAGACGCGGCCCAGACUCCUACGAGAGGCAGCAGUAGGGAAGCUUCCGCAAUGGGCGAAAGCCUGACGGAGCAACGCCGCGUCAGUGAUGAAGGUCUUCGGAUCGUAAAACUCUGUUAUUAGGGAAGAACAUAUGUGUAAGUAACUGUGCACAUCUUGACGGUACCUAAUCAGAAAGCCACGGCUAACUACGUG
RNAcentral lists this ribosomal RNA (497 nucleotides) under uncultured bacterium. Its description in RNAcentral is "partial 16S ribosomal RNA". It matches the Rfam family "Bacterial small subunit ribosomal RNA", at positions 28 to 507 of the family's 1533-position model. The record is from RNAcentral.